GACUGUUAGGGUGAUCUGGCUGCAACAUCUGUCUCUUCAUUGAUCGCCAGGGUUGAUUCGGCUGAUCUGGUUGACUAGGCGGGUGUCCCCUUUCCUCCUUCACCACUCCACGUGUGUCCUUCCUGAAGCUGUGCGCUCUGUUGAAGAGGACACCACCCCGAUAGAGUAGGACUGUUUCCUUGGUCAAAGGUAUACAAGAAGCUGUGCUCCCCUACUAGAACCUCCAAACAAGCUCUCAAGGUCCAUAUAUGAGAAGUUAUAUGAUAUAUAUAUAAGCUUGUGUGUCAGAUUUAUUUCACUUAAU
RNAcentral lists this small nuclear RNA (304 nucleotides) under Heterocephalus glaber (naked mole-rat). RNAcentral describes it as "7SK RNA". It matches the Rfam family "7SK RNA". From Rfam's summary of the family: 7SK was discovered as an abundant small nuclear RNA in the mid-70s but a possible function has only recently been suggested. Two independent studies have found that 7SK RNA binds the CDK9/cyclin T complex (known as elongation factor P-TEFb). Lineage: Eukaryota; Metazoa; Chordata; Mammalia; Rodentia; Bathyergidae. The record is from Rfam by way of RNAcentral.